RNAcentral lists this ribosomal RNA (433 nucleotides) under uncultured bacterium. RNAcentral describes it as "partial 16S ribosomal RNA". It matches the Rfam family "Bacterial small subunit ribosomal RNA", at positions 29 to 507 of the family's 1533-position model. The record is from RNAcentral.
AACGAACGCUGGCGGCAUGCCUAACACAUGCAAGUCGAACGAGACCUUCGGGUCUAGUGGCGCACGGGUGCGUAACGCGUGGGAACCUGCCUUUAGGUUCGGAAUAACUCAGAGAAAUUUGAGCUAAUACCGGAUGAUGUCUUCGGACCAAAGAUUUAUCGCCUUUAGAUGGGCCCGCGUUGGAUUAGCUAGUUGGUGGGGUAAAGGCCUACCAAGGCGAGGAUCCAUAGCUGGUCUGAGAGGAUGAUCAGCCACACUGGGACUGAGACACGGCCCAGACUCCUACGGGAGGCAGCAGUGGGGAAUAUUGGACAAUGGGCGAAAGCCUGAUCCAGCACUGCCGGGUGAGUGAUGAAGGCCUUAGGGUUGUAAAGCUCUUUUAACCGAGAUGAUAAUGACAGUACCGGGAGAAUAAGCCCCGGCUAACUCCGUG